Molecule: ribosomal RNA, 494 nt
Filed under: uncultured bacterium
Lineage: Bacteria
Description: bacterial SSU rRNA
Rfam family: Bacterial small subunit ribosomal RNA
Source: RNAcentral
GACGAACGCUGGCGGCGUGGAUUAGGCAUGCAAGUCGAACGGUAGGAUCCUUUCGGGGAUCUGAGAGUGGCGAACGGGUGAGUAACACGUAGGUGAUCUACCCUCAAGACGGGGACAACCCAGGGAAACUUGGGCUAAUACCGGAUGUGAGCUAUCGCGAGAUAGUUUGAAAGGUGGCUUCGGCUGCCGCUUGAGGAUGAGCCUGCGUCCUAUUAGCUAGUUGGUGAGGUAACGGCUCACCGAGGCAGUGAUAGGUAGGCGGCCUUAACGGGUGGUCGCCCACACUGGGAUUGAGAUACGGCCCAGACUCCUACGGGAGGCAGCAGUCGAGAAUAGUCUACAAUGGUCGAAAGACUGAUAGUGCGACGCCGCGUGAACGAAGAAGCCUUCGGGUGUAAGUUCUUUUAUAUGUGAGCAGUGCUUCUUAUAUUAACAGUAUGGGAGAGAGAUAUUAGUCAUAUGAAUAAGCAACGCGGUAACUCCGUGCCAGCACG